UUCUUUCCUUCUUUAGAUCUCUCUCAAAUUCUUUAAAUAUUCUUAUUUUUCUUCUUUUUUCUUUCUUUCUCUAAUAGUAAUAAAGAGGCCAUGCCCGUUUUAAGUAUUUUAACUCCCGAUCACCGCUACCCUUUCCGAUUGAUCUGAGCCUCAUAACUUAUGUCAGGGCUCUGCCCGACUAAGUUGAUUGGGAUUCUGUCUCGGGAUUUCGGGACAAGGUUGAAUUAGCGGUACUAUACUUACCACAAGUGCAAUAUAUAUUUUUUUAAUAGCCCAAAAGUUAUACCCAACAUUUAUACCAGGAGAUUUUCUAAUUGAACCCUAAAGUUAUAAAGUGGGUCCAUUCUCUUUUCUCACCAUCUUAUUUCCUUUUUUGUGAUUUACCCAAAACUAUUAUUUAUUAUUCUAUUUUGUAAACAACUCUCAUCAAAAGUCAUACUUAUUAUUUUAUUUUCCCAAUAGGAAACCCUAGUUGAGACACCCAAGUAAUCCUGCACCACUCCUAAAAUUUUCAGAAUACCCAGAAUCAGGAUCAGGGCCCCUAAAACUCAGGGGGGAGUAUUCCCUACUCGACGAUUAUCCACAUAUCUUGCUGUCAAAUUCGAGAAUAUCAAUUCCGUCGACUCAGCUGAACUCCAAACACACGUGGCAACCAUAUGAGAUAAGGUGACCCCUCGCGCCACGCGACGCCCAAGGGGGUACCCCUCGCGUCACGCGAGGGGGGUCAAAUUUUGUGUAUAAAUAGGGGUGUUUGGGACUUGAUUUCUGGAGUUGGAACGACGGAAAAAUUCGUCUUACACUUCGAGUUAUAGCCGUUUUACUACCAAACACACACAAUCCCGAAACGCUGCUACGAUACAGGGUAUUUACUCGAUCGCUGCUACGAUUCAAUGUCCGACCGAUCUAAACUAUCCGAUGAAUGUUUAAGUAAUUACAGUAGAUCGGAAUAAGAGUUGGAUACGGCACCAAAAAGGCUUACAGAAAUGGCUUGAUUUAUCAAUUAAAUAAAAAUUAAGAAAAGUUGUUUUAUGUAAUCAAGU
RNAcentral lists this long non-coding RNA (1040 nucleotides) under Helianthus annuus (common sunflower). Its description in RNAcentral is "hypothetical non coding rna". Lineage: Eukaryota; Viridiplantae; Streptophyta; Magnoliopsida; Asterales; Asteraceae. The record is from RNAcentral.